Molecule: long non-coding RNA, 506 nt
Filed under: Brassica napus (rape)
Lineage: Eukaryota; Viridiplantae; Streptophyta; Magnoliopsida; Brassicales; Brassicaceae
Description: long non-coding RNA (BNAP_LNC009774)
Source: RNAcentral
UGUUUUUUACAAUUAACUUAAAAACUAAAAUAACAAAACUUUUAAUAAUAUUUAUUUUGAAUUAUUACACUUAUCUUAAUUUUUAAAUAAUAUCAAAAUCUGUAUUAAUAAAACAAUCAAAAUUAUGAACAUAUUUAUUUUUUUAAGUAAGAUAUUUAACAUCAUCGAACACCGGCGAACGAUCUAGAACAUUUAUAUCGUUUAAUGUUCCCAGACAUCCAAAAAGGCAUGUCAAAUUCAUAGAUCAUGACAUGCAACUGCUUCAAGUAUAACCGUGGUGGUUCCCUUAUCUCCCCGAGUAAAUUGACCUUCCCAUGCUGUUGGAAAAUUUUUCCAUUCCCAAUGCAUGCAAUUAAUACUCCCGAUCAUCCCUGGAAACCCCCUCACCUCGCUGACAUUCAUCUUGAGUUGGAGCUCUGAGAUACUCUUGCUCAUACAACUGUGUGAUUCCUUUACAGAAACGGGGCAGGCACUCCAAUACUGUAGUACCUCCUAUUUUGAUAUAU